UCAAAUCUCAUAUUCAACAAUCACAUUUAUUGUCUUGACCUAAUCUUUACCUAUAAAAAGUCUUACUUUCUACACCAAUUUCAUGAUCCACUAUUUACAAAUCCUUAUCCAAAGUUGAUGUUCUUCACAUUAAAGAACAUCAACAACUAAAUCCUAUAACUCCAAUAAGCAUCCAUUCUAUCAAGGGCAAAGGGAUAAAAUCGGAUCAAAAGGCAAGGAUUGGAAUUGGUGGCGUGAAGAAGGCGAAAAACUAAAAAAAAUAUUUUGCUCACCAGUGACAAUCUCUUCCCUAUAGGUUGGUUUUUGUUUUAACCUCUCAAUAAUAAUUUAUGCAUGCUUAUAUGAAUAAAAUCGGAUCAAAAGACAAGGAUUGAAAUUGGUGGCGUGAAGAAGGCGAAAAGCUCAAAAGAAAUUAUUUUGCUCACAAGUGACAAUCUCUUCCCUAUAGGUUGGUUUUUAUUUUAACCUCUCAAUAAAAAUUUAUGCAAACUUAUAUGGAUUGAAAUUGAUACCGAUUUGAGUUUGUUGAUUGAUGUUUGAUGGGUUUUUGUUUAUCGUUUGUAUUUGAUUUUUGUACAUGUUUUCAUAAAACUUUAUAUACAAAAUUAAAAAAAAACUUAAUAAUUUUCUAAUCAAAUUUAAAAUCAUUUUAAAUUGGUAUUAUAAAUCUAAUUCCUUUAAAGAAAACCAAUUAUUUUUAAAUCAACUUUUAAUUCAACUUUUUUAAAACAAAUUUUUAAAUAAUUUUUUUUCUAACAAAUGUCAGAAAGUCAAUUAUUUUAAGCAAAUCUUUUUUUAACAAACAUCAUAAACCUUUUUACAACUAAUAUCAUGAAUAAAUUUUUUAACAAACAUCAUAAACCUUUUUUUAAUAUUAAAAAAAACUGAAAUAACACAAAGUCAUAACAGGGUGAAAUCUACUGAAUCAACACACAAUAACAUAAAUCUAAAAACAAUAUGAAACAUAAAACAAAAAAAUUCUUUUAGUUUCAAUUAAAUUAUUUAGUUUUUAAUAUUUAGAUUAGGUUAAUUAAUUAACAAAAUUUAAAACUUUUUAGGUUGGCUUGAUUUAUUUAACUAGCCUUAAAUUAUGAUUUCCCUUUUAGUCAUUUAAUCAUUAAUAAUAAAAAAUACUAAAAAAAUCUGUCUUUAGAUUAUAAAAAUAUAAAAAAUCCAAAACUAUAUAUCUUUUCCCCUUUUAAACAAAGUAAAAACAAAAUAAAUAUAUAAUUAAAUAGAAUUAAAUUGGAAUAAUUAAUAUUUGUAUAAUAAUUAUUAAUUAGAGUUAUAACUUAAAAUUAAUUACAUUAAUUUAUGGUUUAAUAUAAUAAUGUGAUUAAUAUAAAAAUAAUUAGGUAAUUAUUUAGAUAAUAUGUAAUUAUGGAUUUAAAUUGAGAUUAGAGUUAAUUUUAUAAUCAAGCAUAAUUGGAUUAAUAAUCAGUUAUAACAAUUAAUAUUUCCCCUUAAUAAAAAUGAUAACUAUUAACAAAAUAAAAUAUUAAUUAAUUAGAUAAUUAGGGUUAACCUUUGGAAUAAUUUUGGGAUAGUGGGAUCACUUAUUGGGAUAAGUCUAGGUUUUGAUUAUCUAAUUAGGGUAAUAGUUAAAGAAUAAGGGAUAUAAAAUAUAAUAUUAACCUUUAUAGUUAACUUGUUUUUAUUUAACAUAAAAUAAUUAUACAUGUGUUUAUUUUCUAAAUCAAACUAAUUAUUAUAUUUUUGCAAAUUAACAAACAAUUAAAAUCAAUUUCACAUACCUAAACUUCAAGUCCUCUCCGCCCUUGUGUAUUGAUACAUUUUCAAAUCAAACAUUUUUCUCCUUUAUUUUUUUAUUUAUUUUAGUUAAUUAAUAUAUAGUUUUAUUUAAUUAACUAUUAAGGUUGGUUUAUUAAAUUAGUUAACAUUGGAUUAGUGUAAUUAAGUUAAUAAUUAGGUUUUUCAAUAUUUCAAUAUUUUACUUUUUUUUAUAGUUUGAUUUGUUUAUUUUCUCUUAUUCAAAUAAUCAAGGGAAACAUAUUUAAUUGAUUGGGGAGUAAUAUAAUGAAAAAUUAUGGUUAAUUGAUUGGAACUUUUUUUGGAUAAUUAUGGGAUAAAAAUUUGGAAUAAAAAAUAGGGAAUAAACAUAUGGGAUAAAAUCUUAGGAUUUUAAGGGAUAAAUCAAGGGAUAGAAAUCGGGAUAAGGGAUAUGUCAUAUAAAUAUAUAAAAUUUAUUUUCAUAAAUAAAUUAAGUAUUAUAUUUUUUUGUAAUAAAAAAUAGGGAUAAUCGUGAGAUAAAUCUCUAAGAAAAUUUUAGGGUUUCAGGGAUAAGGGAUAUAAUACUUGAGUUUAUUUAAUUAACCUUUAAAAAAAUUUAUUAAGUAAAUUAAUAUCAUUACUAAUUUAUUUUCUUACAUAAAUUAAUCAAUAGGUGUCUGCAAAUCAACCCAGGGAUAAAAUUAAUUUAAACUCACCUCAAACUAUAAGUCCUCUACCCAAAUACAUUGAUGUAUUUUUCCAAAAUCAAUUACUUCUCUGCCUCCGAUGCGUGAGAACUUUUCAAGGGAUAAAAACAAAAAAAAACAUAUUUUUUACAAGAACUAUGGUGUUCUGAUCCUUCAGACAACAUGAUGGUACGUAGACAUAAAGUUGUAAGACUUUAGCUAGUACAAUAAUAAAAAAACUUUUUAGAUUCUCUUUCCUUAAAUAACCAAUUUUAUUUUAAAUAAUAAAUAAUUUUCAAUAAAUAAAUAAAUAAGCAAUUAACAAAUAAUAAAGCAAACACUCUUAAGCAUACAAUAACCUUAGACUUAUAUGAGGAUUCUAUUUAGUACAAUGGAGGUGAGAGGUGCCUAGUACCUUCCUCUCACUUAAUCGACUCCCGAACCUAGUAUCUCACCCAUAACCAUUAUAUUUUAUCAUUAUUUCCUUGUUCUUUAGGAACAAAUAAAGGAUGAUGACGACUCUGUAAUUUUUCAGCCGCGACAACUGGCGACUCUGCUGGGGAGAUCUACUUCCCUAAAGAGAGUUCAUCAUAACCCCUAGUUCUAGGGUUUUGCUUGUUUCUUCGUUUGCUUUUUAUUUAUUUCUUACUUUUUAUUUAUUGUUUUUCUUUUUAUUUAUUCGAUUCAUAUUUUAUUAUUUCUAUUAUUUCAUUAUUAUUACAUAUGACAUUUGGUUAGGAUUUACAUGUGGGAAGCUAAAACCCAUACUUGAGGAAAAAGUAAUAAGUUUAAAUAAGGGGUCAUCUUAUCUUGGCCACUGGGGUUCCCAUCCUGUGGGAUCUUUGAUGAUGAUUCCGCCUAGAGUAGAUCAAUUCAAAGGGUUUAUCAUAAGAAGGUUGACACUUCUUCAUGAUGAAAGCUUGAAUUUGGUCCAUGACUCUAGGUACCUCUUCUAGAACCUCUUUAACUCAGAGUGACCUUAUGUUAACAACCUACAAGAACCGUUACUAAGGUCCCGCCUAGAUGAGACUUAUCCCGAAGAAUUACCGUAAGAAGGCUUGCUCAUUCUUAUGGUAAAACAAGAGUAUAUUCCACGACUCUAGUGUUAUCAUCCAAAAUUUUAUAUCCUACAAGUGAGGGGAUUGGGUAGUCUUAACCUAAAGCUGGCCUAUCACAAGAAGCCUACCCUUAACUAGGUCAUGCUUGCAUAUCACCCUAUCCCUAAAACCGUUUGGAUUUCCCAUGUCGAUCAUUAUCCCUAUCUAUAAGGAGCCUUCUUAAACAAGGUUUCAUUUGCUCAAAUGAGUGUUAUAUCAAAAGAUUACUUGCGAAUGAUAAAAAGGAAAAAGAGGUUUAAUAAUGAAUAUGCUUUCCAAGGGUUCGAACCCUCGUGCCUACGUAUCCUCGUAGUGAAAUAUGGAAAUCAGAGCUCCGUAGUUCGUGGAACUAAAGAUGUAAAAAAGGAAAGAGUUGAUUAGGUUGUCAAAAGGCGAAGAAAGUUACUUGAAUAGAAAUAGUGUGGCAUUAACCAAUGGAUGGUAAUUAGCCAAAGAGAGUCAAAGAAUGUGGCAUUGACCAAUAGAUGGUGAUUAUCCAAAAAAUAAUAAAGGAGUGUGUUUUCCUAAGCACGAGAGGACUGACAAGGCAAACAUGAAAUAGAUAAAGGGUAUUCCAAUUAAAGAGUGUGACGUUAACCAAUGGAUGAUAUGGCCAAUACAAGGAUUGUAGCAUUUGUCAGAGUCUGUAACUUUACAGGGAAAUAUAAAAGGUUAUUAGAGUCCUUAAUUAUUUAAGGCAAGAAUGAAUGAUUUCCAGAGUCUGUAACUCUACAAGGGAGGAUGAAAGAUUGCCAGAGUCCAUAAAUCUACAAGGAAAAAAAGAAGUUGUCAGAGUCUGUAACUCUACAUGGCAAGAUGAUAAGUUGCCAAAGUUUGUAACUCUACAAGGCAAAAAAAAGGGGUUGUUAGAGUCUGUAACUCUAUAAGGCAGAAAGCAAGGUUUCCAGAGUCUAUAACUCUAUGAGGCAAGAAGAAGCUGCCAAAAUCUGUAAUUCUAUAGGGCAAGAUAAUAAGUUGCCAAAGUCUGUAACUAUACAAGGCAAAAAGAGGGGUUGCUAGAGUCUAUAACUCUAUAAGACAGAAAGUAAGGUUGCUAGAGUAUGUAACUCUAUAAGGAAAGAAGAAGCUGCCAGAGUCUGUAACUCUACACGACAAGAUGAUAAGUUACCAGAGCCUGUAACUUUAAAAGAAAAAAAGGGUUGUGAGAGUUUGUAAAUUUAUAAGUCAGAAAUAAAGGUUUCCAAAGUCUGUACCUCUAUAAGGAAAUAAGAAUCUUUCAGAGUCUAUAACUCUACAGAGCAAGAUGAUAAGUUAUCAGAGUCUAUAACUCUACAAGGCAAAAAUAGGGGUUGCCAUAGUCUGUAACUCUAUAAGGCAGAAAACAAGGUUGCCAGAGACUGUAACUCUAUAAGACAAGAAAAAGUUGCUAGAGUUUGUAACUCUACAAGGCAAGAUGGUAAGUUGCCAUAGUCUGUAGCUCUAUAAGGCAAAAAAGGGGUUGCUAGAGUCUAUAACUCUAUAAGACAGAAAUCAAGAUUUCUAGAGUCUAUAACUCUAUAAGGCAAGAAGAAGCUGCAAGAGUCUGUAAUUCUAUAGUGCAGAAAGACAGGUUGCCAACGUCUAUAACUCUAUAAGGCAGAGAAGUUUAUCAGAGCAUGAGGCUCUAUAGGGCAACAUAUGAAGUUUUCCAAAGCAUGAGGCUCCACAGGGAAAUGCAUGAAGAUAUUGAUUCAAAUAUGGGUGCUUGACCAUGAGGUGAUUAACCCAAAUUAUGUGUUGAUAUCAGAGAGGAUUGUUGUGUUUGAUCAAAAGAGAAGGUGCGUUAUUGAUGUAGAUUGUUGAAACAGACUUGUCAAUUGUUUGAUUUGAAUUACACUAAAGUAUAUGAAAAAAGGUGAAUACUUUGAGUAACUAGGGCUUACGUCUCGUACUAAAAGGUACUCUAGACAAGGAUAGGAAUGAGCCCUCUCAUCAUUCUUCGUUGCUUAAGGCUCGUGGCGUGUAAUUCUCAUCAUGAUUGACAAGUGUUAAAUAAGAUUAUGUUUGUUGAUCCUAAUAAUGUAAUGUUUCUUGUGAAAAAGGAGACUUGGAAAUUAUUCAAAUCGAAUUGCACUAAAGUCUAUGAGUAGAGGUGAAUACUCUGAGAAAUUGGGUCAUUCAUCCCAUAACCAAAGAUAUUCAUAAUGAGGAUAUGAAUUCUCCCUCUCACCCAUUGUCUACUACUUAAGGCUAGUGAUACACAAUUUGAAUCGUAACUAACAAGUGUUGAUGAGGGACCUUUUUUGUGCUUGAAUAGUAAUUUGGCCUCCAGUCUGUGUGCAAUGUUGUGUCUGACUUGUGUGGACUUGAGUGAAGUCUUGAGUUGUUUGUCUUGAAAGACCCAUUGCAGCUCCAAUACAAGGGACUAGUCUUAUCAAGUGAUCAAGAGACUUUUGAUCACUUGAAUAGACUAAGGGAAUAGGCAUAAUCAAAGGAUUUAGUUUAUCAAAAAGGACUUUGAUAAACUUGGUCUAUCAAGGAUGAAAUUUCAUUUGCAGAUCAUACACAAGGAUUAUGACCUAAACUCUAAGGAAAAUCAAUAUCAUGAUCCUAAUUCUGAAAAUAAAACCUAGACUCAUGGCAUGCUAUGUCAAAAUCAAAUCUACAAUUCAGAAAUUAAUUCUUACUAAAGCAUUAUUUUGACUAUUUCCAAACGUAUGAAUUACAUGGAAAAAAAACAAAUAGAAUAUAAAAAUCACAUUUUUAUUUUCUAAGUAUUUCAUAUUAAAAUGUGCAUAAAAAAAGAAAGGAAAUAAAACAAUUAAAGAAAAUAAAACAAAACAAAGAGGGAUAAGGGGUGUGCCUGGCCAGGGAGGUGGAGGAGGCAAUGGGGCGUAGGCCCAUCAGAGCUAGCAGGCCCAAUAUGGCCUUAGUUUCACUUCUGCAAUCAGAAUGGGGGUUUGUGAUGGAAAAUGGGGGUGCAUGACGUAAUUGAUUGGGCCAAAGGCCCAACAUGCCCAUGCCAAGAGGAAUAUGGUUCAGAAUAUUAGUUCAUUCCAACUCAUGUGUUCAAACAUCUAACUUUCUCUCUUAAACAAUACCUCAUAUGAAACCCUACUUUACCACAUCGGAAAUUGCCUCCGACGGCGAAGGAGGUCCAAACAAUAACAUCAACACCCUAAGAUUGAAGGUUGUGAUUGCAUUUAUAGGAAUCUUAGAGUUAACAGAAUGUUGUUCUAUUAGAUUUCAUAGAGCAAGUUAGUUAGAUUGAUGCUCUAUUAAUUAACUAUGUUAGAUGAGAAAAGUUAGAGUCAGUUCAGUUUUCUAUUAAAGUUAGUUUGUUAUAAUUCAGUUAGGGUUGUGAAAAUAGUUGGUUAUGCUUGGAUUCAGUUAGAGUUAAUUGAGAGCUGAAAUUAUGUUAAAGUGUUAAAGCAAUGUUAGUGUUUGGAAUGGCUCUGUUAGUUUAAAACCAAUAUGUUAGUUAAAAUGAAUGUUAGUGUUAAAUGUUGAACUCAGUGUGUAACUAUGAAUGAUUAAGUUAAUUUGGAAUCUAUUAAUGACUAGUUUUACUUGAAUUUUCUGUUAGAAGUUAGCCAUGGAGUUAGUUAUAGUCAGAUUUUUAGUUAAUGAAUUUGAAGUGAAUUAGAACUUUGUUAUGUUGAGGUUAAUUACAGGUUGAAUGUAGUUAAUUAGUUUGAAUUGAAAUUAAUUUUGUUAAUUAUGCAUUGUGUUGAAUUUGGAUGAGUUAGUUUAGUUGCAUUAUAAUAAAUAGUUUGAAUGGUUAGUGAAUUAGAGUGGUUGUUAGUGAUUGAGUUUUAUUGUGUUAAUUGAACUUGAAGGUUAGUUAGUGGCAGUUUGCUAGUUAUGCUGAAUUGUUAUAGUGUAAUGUAAUGAGUAUGUUAAUGUUAGUUAUGUUAUUGGUUAAUGUUAAGAGUCCCACAUCGGAUAAUAUAUGGUCUGAACAUAUGUUUAUAAGUGGGGACAGUCCUCACUCUAUCAACCGGUUUUGUAGGAUUGAGUUAGGUCAAACCACACAUUCUUAACAUGGUAUCAGAGCCUUGUCUAAGAUCCGGUGGGCCACCUACUAUGAUUUUCGCUAUCGGGCCACCACCAUUUAUUUCCAUGCUCCAGAUGUCCAAUCCCGGGCGUGAGGGGGUGCGUUAAGAGUCCCACAUCGGACAAUAUAUGGUCUGAACAUGUGUUUAUAAAUGGAGGCAGUCUCCACUCUACCAACCGGUUUUGUAGGGUUGAGUUAGGCCAAAUCACAUAUUCUUAACAGUUAAAAAUUGUUGUGAACUGAUAUAGUCUAAUUUCUGUUAGAUUAUGGAUCAGCUGUGUUAAUUUCUAUUUGCAUUGAUGUUGAUAUGGAACUAAAUUGGCCAUUAGUCUGUUUGAUGGGUUAUGAAAUGCAAUGUAAGGUAUUUGGUUAAGGCUUGGUUUUGAAAAUUGAUUGGAUUGCUUUGAAUGAAUGAGCAUAAGUUUAUGAUGUGAUUUAUGGCUAAUGCUUUGUUUAUGUUCUUGUAGGCAAGAGUUUUGUUUAUGUUCUUGUAGGCAAGAGUGGGCAUGGAUUGAAGGCUUGGACCUUUUGGCAAGAAAAAGCAAGAGUUAUAAAGAACAAGGCUAUGGAUAGUUUGGGAAUGAAGAAAAUGUUAUAACUAGGAUUAAGACUAGUAGAGUUGACUUUUGUCAACCGGUAGACAAAAAGUCAAUGGUUGACCAAAGUCAACUGUAGAUCAAAGUUGUGAUUUUUUAUAGGUUCUGGGCUUUUGUAUUUGUAAUGAACUUUAAAAAUUUGUAAUGCAAAUGGGUUCUUUAAUUGAAUGAAUUGUGUAGCUUAUGCAUUUUUCCCUUCACUUCCGUAAUUUCAACUUUUGCAUUCUGGCUCCAAAUGGACUAAUAUAAUGAACAAACAAAUAAAGAGAGUAAUU
RNAcentral lists this long non-coding RNA (8382 nucleotides) under Lathyrus oleraceus (garden pea). Its description in RNAcentral is "Pisum sativum (pea) long non-coding RNA (PSAT_LNC003721)". Lineage: Eukaryota; Viridiplantae; Streptophyta; Magnoliopsida; Fabales; Fabaceae. The record is from RNAcentral.